This 1146-nucleotide ribosomal RNA is filed under the name Salmonella enterica. Its description in RNAcentral is "partial 23S ribosomal RNA". It matches the Rfam family "Bacterial large subunit ribosomal RNA", at positions 611 to 1757 of the family's 2925-position model. The record is from RNAcentral. Lineage: Bacteria; Pseudomonadati; Pseudomonadota; Gammaproteobacteria; Enterobacterales; Enterobacteriaceae.
UAUAAUGGGUCAGCGACUUAUAUUCUGUAGCAAGGUUAACCGCAUAGGGGAGCCGAAGGGAAACCGAGUCUUAAUUGGGCGUUAAGUUGCAGGGUAUAGACCCGAAACCCGGUGAUCUAGCCAUGGGCAGGUUGAAGGUUGGGUAACACUAACUGGAGGACCGAACCGACUAAUGUUGAAAAAUUAGCGGAUGACCUGUGGCUGGGGGUGAAAGGCCAAUCAAACCGGGAGAUAGCUGGUUCUCCCCGAAAGCUAUUUAGGUAGCGCCUCGUGAACUCAUCUCCGGGGGUAGAGCACUGUUUCGGCUAGGGGGCCAUCCCGGCUUACCAACCCGAUGCAAACUGCGAAUACCGGAGAAUGUUAUCACGGGAGACACACGGCGGGUGCUAACGUCCGUCGUGAAGAGGGAAACAACCCAGACCGCCAGCUAAGGUCCCAAAGUCAUGGUUAAGUGGGAAACGAUGUGGGAAGGCCCAGACAGCCAGGAUGUUGGCUUAGAAGCAGCCAUCAUUUAAAGAAAGCGUAAUAGCUCACUGGUCGAGUCGGCCUGCGCGGAAGAUGUAACGGGGCUAAACCAUGCACCGAAGCUGCGGCAGCGACACUUUAGUGUUGUUGGGUAGGGGAGCGUUCUGUAAGCCGUUGAAGGUGUCCUGUGAGGGGUGCUGGAGGUAUCAGAAGUGCGAAUGCUGACAUAAGUAACGAUAAAGCGGGUGAAAAGCCCGCUCGCCGGAAGACCAAGGGUUCCUGUCCAACGUUAAUCGGGGCAGGGUGAGUCGACCCCUAAGGCGAGGCCGAAAGGCGUAGUCGAUGGGAAACGGGUUAAUAUUCCCGUACUUGGUGUUACUGCGAAGGGGGGACGGAGAAGGCUAUGUUGGCCGGGCGACGGUAGUCCCGGUUUAAGCGUGUAGGUGUGUGUUCCAGGCAAAUCCGGUUCACUUUAACACUGAGGCGUGAUGACGAGGCACCACGGUGCUGAAGCAACAAAUGCCCUGCUUCCAGGAAAAGCCUCUAAGCAUCAGGUAACAUCAAAUCGUACCCCAAACCGACACAGGUGGUCAGGUAGAGAAUACCAAGGCGCUUGAGAGAACUCGGGUGAAGGAACUAGGCAAAAUGGUGCCGUAACUUCGGGAGAAGGCACGCUGACAC